CAGGGAAAAGCUCACAGUUGGAACCUAGCUGCCUUAGGUAGUUCGGAUUGUAAACUGAAAAAGUGUUAUCCAGGCUAGCCGAGUAAAAAAGUUUCUUGGAAUAGAACAUCAUGGAGGGUGAGAAUCCCGUCUUUGGCUUGAGCAUAGUCUUUUGUGUUACACUUUAACGAGUCAGGUUGUUUGGGAAUGCAGCCUAAAGUGGGAGGUAAAUCCCUCCUAAAGCUAAAUAUUGGCGAGAGACCGAUAGCAAACAAGUACCGUGAGGGAAAGAUGAAAAGAACUUUGAAAAGAGAGUUAAACAGUAUGUGAAAUUGCUAAAAGGGAAGCGUUUGAAGACAGACUAGCUUGGUUAUAAUCAGCCUGGAUUUUUCUUGGUGUACUUGUAGCCUAUGCUUGCCAACAGCAGUUUGAUCUGGCUGAAAAAACUAGUAGUAAGGUGGCUCUCUUCGGGGAGUGUUAUAGACUAUUAGAAAAUCAGUUGGAUUGGACUGAGGAAUGCAAUGCAGCUUGCCUUGGGGUGAACCAGAUUGAAUAGAAACCAUUGUUUCUUGAAGGUUUGGGUAGCUCUUCGAACUGUAUUUAGGUUGUUGGCUUAAUGUCUUUAAACG
This 608-nucleotide ribosomal RNA is filed under the name Circinella sp. 1 ERP-2018. Its description in RNAcentral is "eukaryotic LSU rRNA". It matches the Rfam family "Eukaryotic large subunit ribosomal RNA", at positions 98 to 646 of the family's 3401-position model. Lineage: Eukaryota; Fungi; Mucoromycota; Mucoromycetes; Mucorales; Lichtheimiaceae. The record is from RNAcentral.